Molecule: ribosomal RNA, 571 nt
Filed under: Ascochyta sp. OTU2 TS-2013
Lineage: Eukaryota; Fungi; Ascomycota; Dothideomycetes; Pleosporales; Didymellaceae
Description: eukaryotic LSU rRNA
Rfam family: Eukaryotic large subunit ribosomal RNA
Source: RNAcentral
AAACCAACAGGGAUUGCCCUAGUAACGGCGAGUGAAGCGGCAACAGCUCAAAUUUGAAAUCNGGCGUCUUUGGCGUCCGAGUUGUAAUUUGCAGAGGGCGCUUUGGCAUUGGCAGCGGUCCAAGUUCCUUGGAACAGGACGUCACAGAGGGUGAGAAUCCCGUACGUGGUCGCUAGCCUUUACCGUGUAAAGCCCCUUCGACGAGUCGAGUUGUUUGGGAAUGCAGCUCUAAAUGGGAGGUAAAUUUCUUCUAAAGCUAAAUACUGGCCAGAGACCGAUAGCGCACAAGUAGAGUGAUCGAAAGAUGAAAAGCACUUUGGAAAGAGAGUUAAAAAGCACGUGAAAUUGUUGAAAGGGAAGCGCUUGCAGCCAGACUUGCCUGUAGUUGCUCAUCCAGGUUUCUACCUGGUGCACUCUUCUAUAGGCAGGCCAGCAUCAGUUUGGGCGGUUGGAUAAAGGUCUCUGUCAUGUACCUCUCUUCGGGGAGAACUUAUAGGGGAGACGACANGCAACCAGCCUGGACUGAGGUCCGCGCAUCUGCUAGGAUGCUGGCGUAAUGGCUGUAAGCGGC